UACGAACUGUGCGAACGUUAUUCGGAAUCACUGGGCUUACAGGGUGCGUAGGCGGCUCAACAAGUCAGGUGUGAAAGCCCCCGGCUCAACCGGGGAACUGCGCUUGAAACUGUUAGGCUCGAGUCAGCUAGAGGUACACGGAACUUCCAGUGGAGCGGUGAAAUGUGUUGAUAUUGGAAGGAACACCGGAGGCGAAAGUGGUGUACUGGGGCUGGUCUGACGCUGAGGCACGAAAGCCAGGGGAGCGAACGGG
RNAcentral lists this ribosomal RNA (253 nucleotides) under uncultured bacterium. RNAcentral's name for it is "partial 16S ribosomal RNA". It matches the Rfam family "Bacterial small subunit ribosomal RNA", at positions 524 to 776 of the family's 1533-position model. The record is from RNAcentral.